CUGGAAUAACAUGGACCCUGUGUAGACAGAGCCAUACAAAAUAUCAAGAAUCAUUAGCGAGCCACAGAACUUACAGGACAGACCGGACAGAUGCCAAAAACAUUAUUUUUGAAAAUGUCUGAGCUGUGACUAACCUUGCUGUGACAUAUAAAAGCCUACUUCAUGAUUCUAGCACCUGGUAGUGAGGCAACAAUGAAUUUGUGACAUGUCAGAAGAUUCUGAGGAGCCCAGAGGCCUGUGGGUGGUUGUGAAACGCCAGUAGAGACACUGUGAUGACGCACAGAGGCUUAACGCAUGAGGAAACCCCACUCAC
Molecule: long non-coding RNA, 313 nt
Organism: Tachysurus vachellii
Lineage: Eukaryota; Metazoa; Chordata; Actinopteri; Siluriformes; Bagridae
Exons: 3
Source: RefSeq, a predicted model, not a curated record